This 497-nucleotide ribosomal RNA is filed under the name uncultured bacterium. Its description in RNAcentral is "partial 16S ribosomal RNA". It matches the Rfam family "Bacterial small subunit ribosomal RNA", at positions 28 to 507 of the family's 1533-position model. The record is from RNAcentral.
GAUGAACGCUGGCGGCGUGCCUAAUACAUGCAAGUCGAGCGAACAGACGAGGAGCUUGCUCCUCUGACGUUAGCGGCGGACGGGUGAGUAACACGUGGAUAACCUACCUAUAAGACUGGGAUAACUUCGGGAAACCGGAGCUAAUACCGGAUAAUAUAUUGAACCGCAUGGUUCAAUAGUGAAAGACGGUUUUGCUGUCACUUAUAGAUGGAUCCGCGCCGCAUUAGCUAGUUGGUAAGGUAACGGCUUACCAAGGCAACGAUGCGUAGCCGACCUGAGAGGGUGAUCGGCCACACUGGAACUUAGACACGGUCCAGACUCCUACGGGAGGCAGCAGUAGGGAAUCUUCCGCAAUGGGCGAAAGCCUGACGGAGCAACGCCGCGUGAGUGAUGAAGGUCUUCGGAUCGUAAAACUCUGUUAUUAGGGAAGAACAAAUGUGUAAGUAACUAUGCACGUCUUGACGGUACCUAAUCAGAAAGCCGCGGCUAACUACGUG